Molecule: long non-coding RNA, 564 nt
Organism: Perca fluviatilis (European perch)
Lineage: Eukaryota; Metazoa; Chordata; Actinopteri; Perciformes; Percidae
Exons: 2
Source: RefSeq, a predicted model, not a curated record
CCUGAAGGGCCAACCUGGUCGUCUCUGGGACCUUCUGGUCCACCAGGUGCUGUACCUCUGCCGCCAUGGCCGCCACAUGGCUCUCCAUCUCCUUCUCUAACCUUUUGAGGCAGUGCUUUCAUCUCCAGGCUGUGGAUAGCAGCGUUGUGUUCCUCGUUCUGAUUGGCCAGCUGCUUCUCCAGAGACUCCAUGUUGGACGUCAGCUGCUCCUUCUGCUUCUGAAACUCCUCCAGAUUAGCCAGCCUCGUCACUUGGAGCACGAGAGAAGAGUUAAAAGUUCACUCACUAAGGUUUAACUCAACCAAUGAGUUUGUUUCUGCAUCCAGUUUGUGUUAAAUGCAGUGUACAGGCUGCUAAACUGUUCAGCCACCUAGCUGAUGCUACAGGUCCAAUGAGGUAAACAAAAAACAUUUAAUAACAAUGUAUUGCUAUGUAAUGGUAUCAUUGUACCUAUCAUAGUACCUAUGUAAUGCUGUCUAGAGUUAACUAGGUAGAAAUAUAUUGUCAGUCCUUGAUUCAUCUCACACUCAGAUGUCUAGAAAUAAAAAAUAUUUUCUACCAAAA